This 74-nucleotide transfer RNA is filed under the name Prevotella micans F0438. It matches the Rfam family "tRNA". Rfam says of the family: Transfer RNA (tRNA) molecules are approximately 80 nucleotides in length. Their secondary structure includes four short double-helical elements and three loops (D, anti-codon, and T loops). The record is from Rfam by way of RNAcentral. Lineage: Bacteria; Pseudomonadati; Bacteroidota; Bacteroidia; Bacteroidales; Prevotellaceae.
GGUUUGGUAGCUCAAUUGGAUAGAGCAACUGCCUUCUAAGCAGUCGGUUACGAGUUCGAGUCUCGUCCAAAUCA